RNAcentral lists this ribosomal RNA (460 nucleotides) under uncultured bacterium. RNAcentral describes it as "partial 16S ribosomal RNA". It matches the Rfam family "Bacterial small subunit ribosomal RNA", at positions 338 to 795 of the family's 1533-position model. The record is from RNAcentral.
CCUACGGGAGGCAGCAGUGAGGAAUAUUGGUCAAUGGACGAGAGUCUGAACCAGCCAAGUAGCGUGAAGGAUGACUGCCCUAUGGGUUGUAAACUUCUUUUAUAUGGAAAUAAAACGUUCCACGUGUGGGAUUUUGUAUGUACCAUAUGAAUAAGGAUCGGCUAACUCCGUGCCAGCAGCCGCGGUAAUACGGAGGAUCCGAGCGUUAUCCGGAUUUAUUGGGUUUAAAGGGAGCGUAGGUGGAUUGUUAAGUCAGUUGUGAAAGUUUGCGGCUCAACCGUAAAAUUGCAGUUGAAACUGGCAGUCUUGAGUACAGUAGAGGUGGGCGGAAUUCGUGGUGUAGCGGUGAAAUGCUUAGAUAUCACGAAGAACUCCGAUUGCGAAGGCAGUUCACUGGACUGCAACUGACACUGAGGCGCGAAAGUGUGGGUAUCAAACAGGAUUAGAUACCCGUGUAGUC